This is a long non-coding RNA of Gorilla gorilla gorilla (western lowland gorilla), 2860 nucleotides long. RefSeq lists it as uncharacterized. The transcript has 4 exons. The record is from RefSeq and is a predicted model, not a curated record. Lineage: Eukaryota; Metazoa; Chordata; Mammalia; Primates; Hominidae.
AUUCCUUCCAGAUCCCACUUUAGAAGAAGGCAGUGGGGUUGGUUUAAACGCACCCAGCGUGCUCCCGAAGAUAAUGUUUUUGUUUCCGUAGAUGCGGUGGCAGCUUUCUGGCGAUUUCUAGGCAAUGUACAGGAGGAAAGAAAGAAGGAAGGGGAGGGCACGGAGAAGCUCCGGAAGGCUGGAUGCUUGGGGAAGGAGGUCAGGAGGCAGGACCGGCCGGCCGCCCUCCAGACGUCCAGAUGUCCAGACGUCCAGCCAGCCAGAGACCGGUCUGCACCUGUCACAGAGAUGGGGUUUCACCAUGUUGGUCAGGCUGGCCUCGAACUCCUGAACUUGUGAUCCGCCCGCCUCAGUCUUCCAAAGUGCUGGGAUGACAGGUGUGAGCCACCGCACCCGGCCUCACUCAGCCCUUUAACAGGUUAGGUGAUUCAGGGACAAAACUUUCCUGAAACAACAAGGCUCAAAUUAUAUCAUAAUUACAGACAUCCGUCGGCAAGCCCGCGUUUUAUUUCAAGGCCGGGAGCUGAAAUGAUCGUGUUCAGUCACGCACACCAUCUAUGAUAAGACGGAGUCUCGCUCUGUCACCCAGGCCGGAGUGCAAUGGCGCGAUCUCAGCUCACUGCAACCUCCACCUCCCGGGUUCAAGCGAUUCUCCUGCCUCAGCCUCCCGAGCAGCUGGGACUACAGGUUCCCCCCACCACGCCUGGCUAAUGUUUGUAUUUUUAGUAGAGACGGGAUUUCACCCCGUUGGCCAGGAUGGUCUCGAACUCCUGACCUCGUGAUCCACCCACUUCAGCCUCCCAAAGUGCUGGGAUGACAGGCGUGAGCCACCGCGCCCAGCCCUAUUUUUUUCUUUUUUGAGACGGAGUCUCGCUCUGUCGCCCAGGCUGGAGUGCAGUGGCACGAUCUCGGCUCACUGCAAGCUCCGCCUCCCAGGUUCACGCCAUUCUCCUGCCUCAGCCUCCCGAGUAGCUGGGACUACAGACGCCCGCCAGCACGCCCGGCUAAUUUUUUUUUUUUUGUAUUUUUAGUAGAGAAGGGGUUUCACCGUGUUACCCAGGAUGGUAUUGAUCUCCCGACCUCGUGAUCCACCCGCCUCGGCCUCCCAAAGUGCUGGGAUGACAGGCGUGAGCCACCGCGCCCAGCCCUAUUUUUUUCUUUUUUGAGACAGUCUCGCUUUGUCGUACAGGCUGGAGUGCAGGGGUGCAAUCAGGGUUCACUGCAGCCUCGAACUCCCAGGCUCAAGCGAUCUUCCUGCCUCAGCCUCCCAAGUAGCUGGAACCACAGGUCCGCACCACCACGCCCCGCUAUUUUUUGUGUUUUUUGUAGGGACGGGGUUGCACCAUGUUGCUCAGGCUGGUCUCGAAUUCCUGUGCUCAAGCGAUCCGCCAUCCUGGGCCUCCCAAAGUGCUGGGGUUACAGGCAUGCGGCCCCACGCCGGCCCAGUCUUUCCCUCUCCCACUGCUUCCCAGGGCUUCGCCUGUCUGAUCCCUGCCUGGGCACUGGCGCAAGGUCGCCUGCGAGCGCCAGGCCUUCCUGCCCGGUGGGAGACCGGAGGGCCCGCUCUCCGGCUCGAUCUGGUUCCCGGGUCAGCCAGCAGCCGCGCCUCUUCCUCCCGGACCCGGGACCCGCCCCUUGGCCGGGGCCGCGGCCGCAGCGCCCCCGGAGGGGCCGCCCUGCGCAUGCUCGCGGGAGGUGGGUGACCCGGGCGCGCGCUGCCCGAGGCCGGGGGGCGGUGGGGACAGCACAGGCGGGGCGGCUGAGCCGAGACCUUCCCACCCCGCCCCACGCCUGGUUGGGGACCUGACGCACCGUCGUGAGUGCGGCGGGUGCAGGUGUCCCUGGGGGCCGGGGGCAGACACUGGUGCGGGACGACCUGCUCUCGAGGGGGUCCGCAGGCCACACCCACAGAAACUGGGGCGCCUCCAGUCACCGCCGCGGUCCGCCCCGCCCGAGGCUUUGACCCCCUGAAUCAGCGUCGGGGCAGGGAUCCGCGUGGGGUGGAAGAGGCUGGGAAACUGGGGAGUCCCGGGCCUCCUCUGGAGCCGCCCGCCCUUGGCUGGCUGGUCCUUCUCUUCCUCCGCUCCCGCCGGGCUGGGCCCUGGGCCGCCCUCACUCCCUGCCCUCUGCAGCCUCCCUUGCGUUUGUCAUUCACUCUGCCAGGCUCUCCUUCUGCCUCCGCAUGCCCAACGAUCCGGAGAAAAACACGGACCAUGACAUCAAAAGGCCUUGGCAAAGGAAACGUGAUUAUUGUGAUACAAGAUUCUGCACCUCAAAGGGGAUCCCUGUAGUGAGUUUUGGAAAACGUACAAAGCCUGGCUUACAGUAUGCCUGUUAUCUGUGGCGUUUCAUCUGGGGAACUUACUUUUCCUUGAUAGGGUAAACUAUUCUCAUCCAGAGUAUGUCCCUCAGUCUGUAAAAGUCCAUGGUGCCCUACAUCUAUUAGGGGAGUGAGGAAGGGCAGUGGGCAUUGGAUCUGCUUCUUUGAAAGCCCCCACCUGUGUUUAGCUUCUCUGUUAGAGGCCUUUGAACCAGAGCAACUCCAUUUUGAGUAGGCGCUUGGUACAAUGAGGCUGAGACCUACUGGGCUGUGUUCCCAGGCGGUUGAGGCAUUCUAAGUCACAGGAUGAGAUGAGAGGUCGGCACAAGCAGUAAAGAAGCCGCGGCCAAAACCCACCAAAACCAAGAUGGGGAUGCGAAUGACCUCUGGUCGUCCUCACUGCUACACUCCCACCAGCGCCAAGACAGCUUACAAAUGCCGUGGCAACGCCAGAAUGUUACCCUAUAUGGUCUAAAAAGGGGAGGCAUGAAUAAUCCACCCCUUCUUUAGCAUAUAAUCAAUAAAUAACCAUAAAAAUGA